Molecule: unclassified non-coding RNA, 644 nt
Filed under: uncultured Bradyrhizobium sp.
Lineage: Bacteria; Pseudomonadati; Pseudomonadota; Alphaproteobacteria; Hyphomicrobiales; Nitrobacteraceae
Description: partial 16S-23S ribosomal RNA intergenic spacer
Rfam family: Bacterial large subunit ribosomal RNA (bases 522-644)
Source: RNAcentral
CGGAGUUCAGUCUUCCCAGGCCCACCACUUUCAUCGAGUGAGCAUUCGUCUUCUGGUUACGGGGCCAUAGCUCAGCUGGGAGAGCGCGUGCUUUGCAAGCAUGAGGUCGUCGGUUCGAUCCCGUCUGGCUCCACCAGAUGGUUUGAUCACCGAGAUCUUGUACCGUCGUCCGCGAAACAUCACUUCGCAUCCUGCUAGUCUGGAUAGACAGCAAGAUGCGUGUUUUCUGACAUCGUAAAGAGGAGAUCGAUCCGAGUUGGGUCGUGCAGCGGAUUGUUGCGCGAAUCCUUCAUUAUCUCCGGAUCAUUUUCGGCGCUCGCUUUCAGCCGUGAGGUUGAAUGCGAGUUGUAAAAUGAUCCUUUUAGCGAAGCUUGACCGCCUCGCUAUCGGAACGAUCUUACGAAGCAAGCUGGUCUUUCUAGUCAAUGUCCGGCUGUGCGUAGCGUUCAUCGAGGGCGCGUGCCGUAAGGCAAUCGUACAGACAACAUUCUGCCGAGUGUGUGGACAUUGAUAAUGAGAGCAAUCAAGUGCCUUAAGGGUGUUCGGUGGAUGCCUUGGCGCUGAGAGGCGAUGAAGGACGUGCUACGCUGCGAUAAGCCGUGGGGAGCUGCGAAGAAGCUUUGAUCCGCGGAUUUCCGAAUGGG